Molecule: microRNA, 21 nt
Filed under: Daphnia pulex (common water flea)
Lineage: Eukaryota; Metazoa; Arthropoda; Branchiopoda; Diplostraca; Daphniidae
Description: Dpu-Mir-277_5p* (star (passenger))
Source: RNAcentral
CGUACCACAAGUGCGUUUGCC